AUCCUGUAUGUUACUUUAUACUGAUAAUAAUCACAUGUAAUAUGCACCUGACUUUAUACUUUUUGGUUAUUGUAUCUAUGGUCAUGUUUGUUGAGGGAGAACUGUCAGAUUUUGGCGGCGCUUCAUUGCCCGAGGUUAUGUUGGAUUUGUUCUUUUGUAAUCUUAUAAUUAAUCCUGUAUGUCGCUGUAAUAAAAGAAAUAUUACUGGAAGCAGUGGUUUGUGUGCUAAACCCCUUUUACUGAGCAUUAAAUCUAUGGAUGAUUUCAACUCAGAAAGCGGGAUUGUGAAUUCAAAUGCCCACAUAGAAAUUGGUUAAUUGUUUUCACCUGUAUAGAGGUGCUAUAUUGAACCAUCGCACUGGGAGAUUUCGGCACAAGAUCGGCAGAAGUAGAGGUUUACAGUGAAUAAAAAGUGCAAGCCUUUGAAGAGCAGAGGCGAGUCGAACUCGACGCAAGAUGAGUUAAAGGCCCGACCACCUGCGGUCUUAAACUACAAUUUUGUCGGAAGUGUGCAGACCUGCGGUGAAUGUGGAUGUUCAUUCACUGCAAAAAUAGGCUACGUCAGCCACCUGAGAGGUCACGAUCAUCGUUCUCACUAGCCAGUGAAUACUCAGUCGCCGAGGCCGAAACCGGCUAGGACAGGAUGAUCAGAGGUGCGUAGCAAUGUAUGUUGCUUGGUUUUUAAAAAAAAAAAGUUUGAGUUUGUUUGAUUGACAAUUGGUUUCAUUUGCUUACCAUAAAAGGUGUUUUAAAUUUGCAAUAUAAGUACUUGAUGUUUGCUAUGUAUUGAUCUAGUUUCUAACCCCUGUUUUUUUUUGUCAUUGUUUGUUUUUGGUCUGAGAGAUGACACGUUGGAAUACAAUGAGAAUAGAUCUCGACGAAAAUGCAAGCAAGCAACCAUCAGCUUCAUCACAGUGAGAUUGGUGAGACACAGAGCCAACAUGGUUACGAACGAAGUCAAAAGGGUAAGGAUGACAUUGUGCAGUAUUCAGGUACAAUAUAGGUGCUUAGUGAAGUUAGUUAUUAACACUGAGUUGUAUAAUGACAUUAGGUGAAUAUACUAGGUAUUAUUACUAUUUUGGAUAGUCUAAUGACACUAAAAGGUAUUUUAUUUCUAAUGAUGUAUGAGUAUAUAAUGCCUAUAUAUGGCAAGAGAUAACAAUAAAAUGUUAUGGAUUGGUAUCACAGAGGUUAUUGCCAUGAUGAAUUGAUAGGAUAGCGAAGAUGAGAGGAAGAAACUGAUAGCGGGCUAGAAUUGUAGAUUGGCCCAUGACGGUUAUCAGUGGAAAGAGUUAAAAGAGGCUUUUACCAAGCACCACACUUAUUGAGAUAUAGCUCUAUUUCUAUAUUCCGGUCUCUAAUUCAGAAUAGGUGGAUGUGCAUAUAAAUUAUUUUAGAUAAAAGACUGAAGUUAGUUUUUGAUUUGACAACAAAGAAAUUAUUUAUAAACUUUUGUAUAUGAAAAAAAUGUUAAUUGAAGAUAUUGAAUGGUAUAUUCUACAUAGGUAGGUACAUGCAUUUAGUUUCAUAUCAUUGUUAUAUUGGAAAUUAUCAAUCUGGAUACUUAGAGAGAAGCACAUACAAACAAUAAUGAAUGAAUGAAAUUACACACAGUAUAAAUUCGAAAUUUGAAAUGACACAGGUAGUUUCAUAUCUAUUUCAUAACAUUUAUUUAAAGGUCAUGCAUCUCAACAAUCCAAUUCAUCAUUGAAAACCCGGCUGCCACAUCACAGGCAUAGCCUAGUGUGGGGCCACAGGAUAUAUAUAUAUUGUCAACAAGGUUAUUUGAAAUAAAUAUUAUUCUGAUUCUUAUUAGAUUAUGUAAUUCAUUCUGAAGCCUGAAUUUUGUAUAUGAGCAAGGUUUAUAUAAUUUAAAAAUGAAAAACAGAUGUGCUGAAUUUUUGGAAAUUGUCCAGGCUUACCUCACGCUUCACAUACAAAUCAAGGAAGUUUACAUUAAUGAUAUUAAUAUUUCAAAAUGUAAAAGAGACUUGUACUAUUAAUGGUGUCACAAUUAUGUUACAUCAAUUUACCAAAGAAUUAAGUUUGAAAAUAUAAGUAACAAUUACAAAGCAUCAUUAUUAUCAUUCAGGGAACAUGAUGCAUGGUUGCAUUGUGGAUACUGACAUUGCAUAUUAAAAUGAAAGGGUUAAGAUCUCCUUGUAGGUAUUUAAAAGAAAGUGAAUAAGUUCACUAUAUUUGGAAUUCUUGAAUAUCUACUUCAUACCUUCAAAUUGUUGACAAGUGGUAUUUAUAUUUAAACCUUAUUGCACAAAAUAGGUAUACACCAGUGUUCAAAUUUGUUUUUCUGAAUUUAUAAAUUUAAUGCAGGUCUUGUCUAAUGACUCUAGUGAAAGCGUUUGUUGCACGGGAUUGGCUAGACAAGAACAGAUUACUUUUCGGUGUUGACACAAUAUUUAUUGUCUAAUAAUAUUGCAUAGUAUUCAGUUAUAUUUUUAAAAUUUGACUAGGUAUGCGAAGUUGAAAUAGUACAGUUAUACAUCUGUAAUACCAUGGAUUGCGAUGAAAAAUGAUUAUGAUUACAAUCCAGUAAUAAACCACAAAUGAAACUAUGAAUUAUUGUUGCUAUGAAAUACAAUUUAUUUGUGGCUUUAUGGGUUCAGUUGCAUAAAAACUUAACAGCUGGUGAUGCCUAAUUAAGUUAAUCAAAUGGACGGAUCCUAGAGGUCAUAAAUUGUGGAAUUUGGGUUGCUAAGAGGUGGGUAAUGGUCAGGAAUAGUGUCGGUCGAAUGCAAAAGCAGAUUACUUGUGUAUACAUUAUCAAUUAUAAGAGGGUCCAUUUAUAAAAUUAAAAUGUUGGCAAGAGCAGUGCCUGUUUGGAAAGACAAGACUUAAAGAAUUCUCAUUGAAAAUUGACUUAAAGAGUAAGGUCGAUGAGUGGGUACAAAUAAUGUCACAAGUUUUAGUGCAGGGUUUUAGUAUGGUUUUGUGCAAAAGUCUGUGACUGACUUAAACAAAAGACUCAACACCAGAGUAAGUUGAAUGAACGAAUCUAAAAGUACAUAACAUUCAAAUUUAAAGAAGCCUUAUAAAGUAGGCUGUGUAGAAGUAACUUGGAGUUAAUUUUUAUUUUACAUUUCUUUUCAAUUCAUUAAACUUUGAAAGUAUCCUUAAAAUUUGGUUUAUUGUUAGGUUUAACACAUGGUACAUUUAUGAUUUUAUGACGAAGACACAGUGAUGACAAGAGAAAUAGGUUGGUGAUAUUAACCAUGUGAUCCAUGAUUCAUAAACACAACAUUUAUGGUUGCAGUUUUACAGCCAUAGCCGAUUGGCUCUAACUAUUAAAAAAAAAGGUGUAUAAAUAUAUUGGAAUUUAAUUACUUCCAAUAGUUUCAAUAAUAUAGUAGGUGGGGUAAUGACGCUAGUAUUUGCUACGGUGUACUCGGUGUAGUAUACGCUUGUACCUAUUUGGAGCCUUUUCUUUCCGGGUGCAUGUGACCCCGAGAUUUAGUGUUGCGUUUUUUACCAUCCCUGUGGCUGAAUAUUACUAUGGUGAAAUGUUGCACGAAGUUUAGGACAAAACAUCAGGACCAUCAGGUUAUUGAAUAAAUAUCUGUUUAUAUAAAUUCAACAAAAUAAAACAUGAUUUAAAUGUAAUCUUCUCAAAGUUGAUAAAUUGAUGAAUAUUUAUUAUUUUAUUUUAUUAAUGUUGAGGAUUUUUGAUGAAGAUAAUGAUUGAUAUCCAUGACGACAUUGACGUCUAAUUACAAUUUUAGUAACGAUGAGUAGGUGUCUAAUACAAAUACUUUAUUUAUAACGCUAAGGAAGAUCUUAGGUAACAGAGGUCCGAUAAUGAUGAUGAUGUAGGUAUAUGACUGAACAUGUCUACUAGUUAAGUAAGUGUCGAUGUCGGCGACAAUGUUUGCUCCAUGACUAUGGCAGGGUCAAUAACUGGCCAUAUCGAUGAUAAAAACGGAGCUGGAUGAUUUCGAUGACAAUGUCGGCGAUAAAGCUUGACUGACCACUUUGAUGACGAUAUAUAGAUGACGUUUAUAGUAAGAUUAAUUGAUGAUGGUAAUGAUUGACUGAUUCCAUGUGUAUAAUCAAUGAUUAAAUUGUUGACGAGGACUGAGACUAAAAUGAUCGUUGCUACUGCCAAUAAUUAUAACAUUUGUUUUUAUUUUUUUUAUGUUACAACGCUGGUAACCUGGCUGAAUGGAUGAAGUUGAUAAUGAGCGAGGGCUUCGCAGCAAGAGCUGACUGAAGUAAAGGAGGUUAAACUGUUAAGACGGUGCUGCCAGCAGUGGGCAGGGCCCAAGCUGCCGAUGGACAGGGCCACAGAGCGAGGAACCGACAUACAUACGUGCCGUGUCCAAGAUUACUGCCUUCUGCAUCUGAUCCUUGAUCCAGCGACCAGCGAGAGUAUCUACAGGUGUUGUUUUGGACUCUUAGCUGACAAGAUUGCUAUUAUAUUAAUAUUAUGAAUCUAGAAUAUAACCGUUGAGUUUUGGCAGACUGUCUAGUGCAGGCCGUAAUGGCAGACUGUCUAGAGCAGGCCAUGACUGUUUAUUAUGUUAGUUUAUGCUUUGGCAAAGUUAGGUUCUUGUAAUAUGGGCCUUGUUGUCUGAUCCAAAUAAAUAUAUAUACAUAUUAGUUUAUACUUUGACAAACUGUCCAGCGCAGGCCUUGAAGGCAGACUGUCUAGGGCAGGCUUUGAUAGCAGACUGUCUUCUAGAGCAGGCCGUGAUGGCAGACUGUCUAGACAACUCAAGUCUAGAGCAGGCCAUAACUAUUUAUACUUUGGAAUGAUAUCUAGAGCAGGCCUUAAGGGCAGACUGUGAAUGUUUAUGAUGAAUUAUACUUUGUCAAACUAUAGAGUAAGCCUAAAUGGCAGACUGUGAUUGUUUAUGAUAAAUUAUACUUUGCCAAACUAUUUAGAGCAGGCCUAAAUGGCAGACUGAUUGUUUUGAUGAAUUAUGUUUUGCAAAUCAUUUAAAGCAGGUCUUAAUACUGUGAUUGUUUAUGAUUAAUUAUGUUUUGCCAAACUAUUUAGAGCAGGCCUAAAUGGCAGACUGAUUGUUUUGAUGAAUUAUGUUUUGCAAAUCAUUUAAAGCAGGUCUUAAUACUGUGAUUGUUUAUAAUGAAUUAUGUUUUGCCAAACUAUUUAGAGCAUGCCUAAAUGGUCUUAAUACUGUGAUUGUUUAUGAUGAAUUAUGUUUUGCUAAACUAUUUAGAGCAGGCCUUAUAAGGGUAGACUGUCAUUGUUUAUGACGUUUUAUACUUUGCCAUACUGUUUAGAGCAGGCCUUGAGGGCAGAUUGUGAAUGUUAAUGUUGGCUUAUACUUUGGCAGAUGUCUAGACCAGACCAAGACUGUAAGUUAGUUCAUAUGUAUUGAAAGUUUAUUGAAAGAAGGCUAUUAAUGCUACCAGGUGCUGGUUGUAUUAAAUUACUGUUUAGUGUUUAUAUGAUCUCAGGUUAUAGCAUGUGAAGAUUGUGAAGUGUGAAGACUGAUUUCUCAAUAAGGUUAAUAUAUGCAACUAGUCAUUGGUUGUGUGAUUGACUAAUAAAAGUCUAUAGUCAGAAGUUUACAAAAACUGUUCUUAUGAAUGUUUGUUUGAUAUCGAUAAAAUUGUUAUGAUAUAUUGCUGUUGUUAUUAAUGUACAAUUGUUUUUAGUGAGAGGACUCACUAUAAAUAAAAGGACGGCCGAGUUGUAAGCAUCACAAUAGUUGAUAUCCUGUAUGUUACUUUAUACUGAUAAUAAUCACAUGUAAUAUGCACCUGACUUUAUACUUUUUGGUUAUUGUAUCUAUGGUCAUGUUUGUUGAGGGAGAACUGUCAGAUUUUGGCGGCGCUUCAUUGCCCGAGGUUAUGUUGGAUUUGUUCUUUUGUAAUCUUAUAAUUAAUCCUGUAUGUCGCUGUAAUAAAAGAAAUAUUACUGGAA
Cydia fagiglandana is the source of this 5905-nucleotide long non-coding RNA. RefSeq lists it as uncharacterized. Lineage: Eukaryota; Metazoa; Arthropoda; Insecta; Lepidoptera; Tortricidae. The record is from RefSeq and is a predicted model, not a curated record. The transcript is spliced from 2 exons.